This 294-nucleotide long non-coding RNA is filed under the name Elaeis guineensis (African oil palm). Its description in RNAcentral is "long non-coding RNA (EGUI_LNC068284)". Lineage: Eukaryota; Viridiplantae; Streptophyta; Magnoliopsida; Arecales; Arecaceae. The record is from RNAcentral.
GGCUAAUGAAGAGUCUUAAUGCUCAUAGACUAUGAGUCCUACAUAUCUGGGACUCUAUGAUCAAGAAUCAAGAUUCUCUGAUCAUGAAUACCAUAUAUUUUGGGUACCGGGGUCAAGAGUCCCACUGGUUUGGGACUUUUUCAUCGGAGUUUCAUAUCGAUGGACUCUGAUGCCCGAUUAUCCAUCGAAUUUGGACUCAAUAUUUAUGAGAGAUUUAAUUAGUAAUUUGAUCACUAAUUAACUUAAUUUUAUUGAGUAAUUAUUUUUAGAUCAAGUCCAAUUGAAUUGGAUUCA